GAUGAACGCUGGCGGCGUGCCUAAUACAUGCAAGUCGAGCGAACAGACGAGGAGCUUGCUCCUCUGACGUUAGCGGCGGACGUGUGAGUAACACGUGGAUAACCUACCUAUAAGACUGGGAUAACUUCGGGAAACCGGAGCUAAUACCGGAUAAUAUAUUGAACCGCAUGGUUCAAUAGUGAAAGACGGUUUUGCUGUCACUUAUAGAUGGAUCCGCGCCGCAUUAGCUAGUUGGUAAGGUAACGGCUUACCAAGGCGACGAUGCGUAGCCGACCUGAGAGGGUGAUCAGCCACACUGGAACUGAGACACGGUCCAGACUCCUACGGGAGGCAGCAGUAGGGAAUCUUCCGCAAUGGGCGAAAGCCUGACGGAGCAACGCCGCGUGAGUGAUGAAGGUCUUCGGAUCGUAAAACUCUGUUAUUAGGGAAGAACAAAUGUGUAAGUAACUAGGCACGUCUUGACGGUACCUAAUCAGAAAGCCACGGCUAACUACGUG
Molecule: ribosomal RNA, 497 nt
Filed under: uncultured bacterium
Lineage: Bacteria
Description: partial 16S ribosomal RNA
Rfam family: Bacterial small subunit ribosomal RNA
Source: RNAcentral